RNAcentral lists this ribosomal RNA (483 nucleotides) under uncultured bacterium. RNAcentral describes it as "partial 16S ribosomal RNA". It matches the Rfam family "Bacterial small subunit ribosomal RNA", at positions 30 to 507 of the family's 1533-position model. The record is from RNAcentral.
AUUGAACGCUGGCGGCAGGCCUAACACAUGCAAGUCGAGCGGAUGAAGGGAGCUUGCUCCUGGAUUCAGCGGCGGACGGGUGAGUAAUGCCUAGGAAUCUGCCUGGUAGUGGGGGAUAACGUCCGGAAACGGGCGCUAAUACCGCAUACGUCCUGAGGGAGAAAGUGGGGGAUCUUCGGACCUCACGCUAUCAGAUGAGCCUAGGUCGGAUUAGCUAGUUGGUGGGGUAAAGGCCUACCAAGGCGACGAUCCGUAACUGGUCUGAGAGGAUGAUCAGUCAACCUGAAACUGAGCACCGUUCCGAAUUCCAAGGGGAGGCACCGGUGGGAAUUUUUGAACAUGGGCGGAAGCCCUAAUCAGGCCUGGCCCGGUGUGUAAAAAAGGUCUUGGGUUUGAAAACCCCUUUAGGUGGGAGGAAGGGCAGUAAGUUAAUACCUUGCUGUUUUGACGUUACCAACAGAAUAAGCACCGGCUAACUUCGUG